Molecule: ribosomal RNA, 990 nt
Filed under: Escherichia coli
Lineage: Bacteria; Pseudomonadati; Pseudomonadota; Gammaproteobacteria; Enterobacterales; Enterobacteriaceae
Also listed under: 1 other name
Description: partial 23S ribosomal RNA
Rfam family: Bacterial large subunit ribosomal RNA
Source: RNAcentral
UACCCCGAGGAAAAGAAAUCAACCGAGAUUCCCCCAGUAGCGGCGAGCGAACGGGGAGGAGCCCAGAGCCUGAAUCAGUGUGUGUGUUAGUGGAAGCGUCUGGAAAGGCGCGCGAUACAGGGUGACAGCCCCGUACACAAAAAUGCACAUAUUGUGAGCUCGAUGAGUAGGGCGGGACACGUGGUAUCCUGUCUGAAUAUGGGGGGACCAUCCUCCAAGGCUAAAUACUCCUGACUGACCGAUAGUGAACCAGUACCGUGAGGGAAAGGCGAAAAGAACCCCGGCGAGGGGAGUGAAAAAGAACCUGAAACCGUGUACGUACAAGCAGUGGGAGCCUCUUAAUGGGGUGACUGCGUACCUUUUGUAUAAUGGGUCAGCGACUUAUAUUCUGUAGCAAGGUUAACCGAAUAGGGGAGCCGAAGGGAAACCGAGUCUUAACUGGGCGUUAAGUUGCAGGGUAUAGACCCGAAACCCGGUGAUCUAGCCAUGGGCAGGUUGAAGGUUGGGUAACACUAACUGGAGGACCGAACCGACUAAUGUUGAAAAAUUAGCGGAUGACUUGUGGCUGGGGGUGAAAGGCCAAUCAAACCGGGAGAUAGCUGGUUCUCCCCGAAAGCUAUUUAGGUAGCGCCUCGUGAAUUCAUCUCCGGGGGUAGAGCACUGUUUCGGCAAGGGGGUCAUCCCGACUUACCAACCCGAUGCAAACUGCGAAUACCGGAGAAUGUUAUCACGGGAGACACACGGCGGGUGCUAACGUCCGUCGUGAAGAGGGAAACAACCCAGACCGCCAGCUAAGGUCCCAAAGUCAUGGUUAAGUGGGAAACGAUGUGGGAAGGCCCAGACAGCCAGGAUGUUGGCUUAGAAGCAGCCAUCAUUUAAAGAAAGCGUAAUAGCUCACUGGUCGAGUCGGCCUGCGCGGAAGAUGUAACGGGGCUAAACCAUGCACCGAAGCUGCGGCAGCGACACUAUGUGUUGUUGGGUAGGGGAGCG